CUACCUCUGCACAUUGAACCCAACUCAACUCUUGCUUGCAUUAUUUGACCCUGAGAUGCUGUGAGGUAGCAUGCUGGACAUCACUGUCCUCACUAUGCAGAUACAAGUCUAAAGGCCAAAAAGGUGAUUAACUUCUUCAAUGUCAUGGAACUCACUGGCACCUGAUGGGGAUGGCUGGGGAUUCGAUGUUUCCAGACCCAUCAGACUGAUAGAGGACUGAAACUAAGAGGGGAAAAUGGGCUACCAAAUCUGGGCCCAGGAGACUCAGGACUGUCUGUGAAAACAACAACAAAAAAGAUGUUGGUUUUCAUCGGAGUACAUUCUUGCUCGCUGGAAGGGAAGGGGUGAGGGGAAAGGAGCCCCAUCUUGAAUGAAGUUCAGAAUGGGAAAAACCAUCAGAGACUGCUUACUCCAGGCCACAAUUUCACAACUGCAGAUACAAAACAGUGGUGAGAAAUGUGAGGAUGAAUGUGGACACCUUCCAGUGUGAUUCAGAAGAGGCAGCUCCUGUUCAGAUGAUUUCAAAAAAACC
RNAcentral lists this long non-coding RNA (532 nucleotides) under Vulpes vulpes (red fox). RNAcentral describes it as "lncRNA (ENSVVUG00000005138.1)". Lineage: Eukaryota; Metazoa; Chordata; Mammalia; Carnivora; Canidae. The record is from RNAcentral.